CACGUAGGGGACGAGCGUUGUCCGGAAUCAUUGGGCGUAAAGCGCGCGUAGGCGGCCCGGAAAGUCGGAUGUGAAAUCCCGGGGCUCAACCCCGGGCCUGCAUCCGAUACUCCCGGGCUGGAGGCAGGUGGGGGAGAUCGGAAUUCCUGGUGUAGCGGUGAAAUGCGCAGAUAUCAGGAGGAACACCGGUGGCGAAGGCGGAUCUCUGGGCCUUGCCUGACGCUGAGGCGCGAAAGCUAGGGGAGCGAACAGG
RNAcentral lists this ribosomal RNA (253 nucleotides) under uncultured bacterium. RNAcentral's name for it is "partial 16S ribosomal RNA". It matches the Rfam family "Bacterial small subunit ribosomal RNA", at positions 524 to 776 of the family's 1533-position model. The record is from RNAcentral.